RNAcentral lists this ribosomal RNA (482 nucleotides) under uncultured bacterium. RNAcentral's name for it is "partial 16S ribosomal RNA". It matches the Rfam family "Bacterial small subunit ribosomal RNA", at positions 30 to 507 of the family's 1533-position model. The record is from RNAcentral.
AUUGAACGCUGGCGGCAUGCCUUACACAUGCAAGUCGAACGGUAACGGGCCUUCGGGUGCCGACGAGUGGCGAACGGGUGAGUAAUACAUCGGAACGUGCCCGAUCGUGGGGGAUAACGAGGCGAAAGCUUUGCUAAUACCGCAUACGAUCUACGGAUGAAAGCAGGGGACCGCAAGGCCUUGCGCGGACGGAGCGGCCGAUGGCAGAUUAGGUAGUUGGUGGGAUAAAAGCUUACCAAGCCGACGAUCUGUAGCUGGUCUGAGAGGAUGAUCAGCCACACCGGGACUGGGAACCGGCCCCGACUCCUACGGGAGGCAGCAGUGGGGAAUUUUGGACAAUGGGCGCAAGCCUGAUCCAGCCAUGCCGCGUGCAGGAUGAAGGCCUUCGGGUUGUAAACUGCUUUUGUACGGAACGAAAAGCCUUCUUUUAAUACAGGAGGGUCAUGACGGUACCGUAAGAAUAAGCACCGGCUAACUACGUG